This 468-nucleotide ribosomal RNA is filed under the name uncultured bacterium. RNAcentral's name for it is "bacterial SSU rRNA". It matches the Rfam family "Bacterial small subunit ribosomal RNA", at positions 332 to 793 of the family's 1533-position model. The record is from RNAcentral.
AUCACUCCUACGGGGAGGCAGCAGUGGGGAAUAUUGCACAAUGGGCGCAAGCCUGAUGCAGCCAUGCCGCGUGUGUGAAGAAGGCCUUCGGGUGUAAAGCACUUUCAGUUGUGAGGAAGGUGGUGUCGUUAAUAGCAUAUUCAUUUGACGUUAGCAACAGAAGAAGCACCGGCUAACUCCGUGCCAGCAGCCGCGGUAAUACGGAGGGUGCGAGCGUUAAUCGGAAUUACUGGGCGUAAAGCGCAUGCAGGUGGUUUGUUAAGUCAGAUGUGAAAGCCCGGGGCUCAACCUCGGAACUGCAUUUGAAACUGGCAGACUAGAGUACUGUAGAGGGGGUAGAAUUUCAGGUGUAGCGGUGAAAUGCGUAGAGAUCUGAAGGAAUACCGGUGGCGAAGGCGGCCCCCUGGACAGAUACUGACACUCAGAUGCGAAAGCGUGGGGAGCAAACAGGAUUAGAUACCCUGGUAG